This is a long non-coding RNA of Astatotilapia calliptera (eastern happy), 1605 nucleotides long. NCBI's taxonomy places the organism in Eukaryota, Metazoa, Chordata, Actinopteri, Cichliformes, Cichlidae. The record is from Ensembl.
GAACCACUUGAGUACACACAUUCAAUUAGAUAUAUAGCUCACAACACUGCUGAUAUCUGUUCAGCUGCAGCCACGAAUCGAGAAGCUGGUUCACAUCAGGAAAGGUGUAAAAUAAACUUCAACCUCCCUCUGUUGUUCCUCUUACAUCUCACAGCUUGCAUUCCCUUAUUAUACAGUCUACUCCCCUCUCUAAUCCCACAAAAAGUUGAGAAAGCAUAUUAAAUGUAAGUGAGGGAGAGUUGCUACUGUUACUAAUUGGAUUGACGCUGGCGGGCAUUGGCUCUGCGGUACAACUGGAGCAAACGAAAGAGAACACGAAGAUUCUCUUUGGCUGAGGUUAUUAUUAGGCACUGACAGAGGUAAUUCACUUAGAUCAAAUGGAUUACAUGUUUGCAAUUUAUUGACUGUGUACUGUGAUAGUGGCACAGUGGUCGUUCCUGUGUAGCAACAAGAUUCUGGGAUCAAACUCAGUCUGUUGGUUUCUUUUUUUUUUUUUUAUCUUUCAGAAAGACAGUUUCACACACUGCAGACUUUGCAAGAUCAUAAUCAGUAUAUUAAAGCAAAUGCAUGUCAUACAUUGUGAGUGGAUCCUGUAUCUGUUCUUUGUUUCAACUUUACUAAUACAUAAUACUGCCUUCUGCUCUUACAUUUACUUAUUCAUUGGUUAUUUAGUUUCUCUUCAUCUUAUUUGAAAUAAUUAAAGUCCUGCAAGAUGUCUGAUAUAAGGUUUUGCCCAUACAAUUUAAUCUCAACAUUACCAUAAUUCAAGAAGAAGAAUCUUCCUUUCACAAACAAAGUAUUGCUCUACUUGAAGUCCACCAAUGAUCAAAUGUACAUUUCUUGGCUUGGACAGGGCAUCAUUAAUCUUGUAGAAUCUUUUUUGUCUAUUUGCGGUCAGCUUGAAUUCAGCUAAAACAUCCAUUCAUUUUCUUCCACUUAUCCAAUUCAGAGUAGUGAGGGGGCUGAAGCCUUUCCCUGAUGCCAUGGGCUGAAAGGCGGGGUACAGGUCGCCAGUCUGUCACAGGGCUAACACAGAGAGAUGGACAACCAUUCAGAGUCAAUUUAAGAUUACCAGUUAACAGAGGAGGAACCAAGUCAUUGUUUUGCAAGUCUCAAGUAAGUCUCAAGUCUUUAUCCUCAAGUCACAAGUCAAGUCUCAAGUAAUGUCAGGCAAGUCAGACUCGAGUCUCAAGUCACUGGUGUAAAAGUCCGAGUAAAGUCUGAAAUUUUGAAUUUCAAGUCCUUUCGAGUCUUUAAAAAUAAAAAAUGAAAAAAGAAUGUUGCAGUUAUAUGCUAAAUGUAAAUAUUAGACCAUGUGAUUUUUAAAUCUGUGUUUUUCUCAACACAUGACAAAAUAGUGAACUUAGAAAAUAUACACAAAUUGUGAAAUUGCACCUCUAUAAAAUGCAGCUCAAUUAAACUUAGCACCUAGAAUAAUUUUCACCGACAGUUCUGAGAUAAGCUGCAUGUUAUUCUUGGAUGCGGUUGUAGGACCGGCUUUAAAAUAGCAUGACAAAAAUAUCAUACACAUUAAAAAAAACUGCAUCACCAACGUAGCCUGGACAACAUUUGCUAGUUAGAUGAAGUCAUGAAGCACCACCUACC